CUGACCACCCUGGAGACAGGGCCUUCCCCUUCGGGGGACAGAGUGACAGGUGGUGCAUGGUUGUCGUCAGCUCGUGUCGUGAGAUGUUGGGUUAAGUCCCGCAACGAGCGCAACCCUUGAUCUUAGUUGCCAGCAUUCAGUUGGGCACUCUAAGGUGACUGCCGGUGACAAACCGGAGGAAGGUGGGGAUGACGUCAAAUCAUCAUGCCCCUUAUGACCUGGGCUACACACGUGCUACAAUGGACGGUACAGAGGGCUGCUAACCCGCGAGGGGGAGCCAAUCCCAGAAAACCGUUCCCAGUUCGGAUUGCAGGCUGCAACUCGCCUGCAUGAAGCCGGAAUCGCUAGUAAUCGCGGAUC
Molecule: ribosomal RNA, 360 nt
Filed under: uncultured Bacillus sp.
Lineage: Bacteria; Bacillati; Bacillota; Bacilli; Caryophanales; Bacillaceae
Description: bacterial SSU rRNA
Rfam family: Bacterial small subunit ribosomal RNA
Source: RNAcentral